GGGUGAGUAACACGUGAGUAACCUGCCCCAGGCUUUGGGAUAACCCCGGGAAACCGGGGCUAAUACCGGAUAUGACCAUCUGUCGCAUGGUGGGUGGUGGAAAGAUUUUUUGGCUUGGGAUGGGCUCGCGGCCUAUCAGCUUGUUGGUGGGGUGAUGGCCUACCAAGGCGGCGACGGGUAGCCGGCCUGAGAGGGCGACCGGCCACACUGGGACUGAGACACGGCCCAGACUCCUACGGGAGGCAGCAGUGGGGAAUCUUGCACAAUGGGCGGAAGCCUGAUGCAGCGACGCCGCGUGAGGGAUGACGGCCUUCGGGUUGUAAACCUCUUUCAGCAGGGACGAAGCGUUUGUGACGGUACCUGCAGAAGAAGCGCCGGCCAACUACGUGCCAGCAGCCGCGGUAAGACGUAGGGCGCAAGCGUUGUCCGGAUUUAUUGGGCGUAAAGAGCUCGUAGGCGGCUUGUCGCGUCGACUGUGAAAACCCGUGGCUCAACUGCGGGCUUGCAGUCGAUACGGGCAGGCUAGAGUUCGGUAGGGGAGACUGGAAUUCCUGGUGUAGCGGUGAAAUGCGCAGAUAUCAGGAGGAACACCGGUGGCGAAGGCGGGUCUCUGGGCCGAUACUGACGCUGAGGAGCGAAAGCGU
Molecule: ribosomal RNA, 644 nt
Filed under: Salinispora arenicola
Lineage: Bacteria; Bacillati; Actinomycetota; Actinomycetes; Micromonosporales; Micromonosporaceae
Description: bacterial SSU rRNA
Rfam family: Bacterial small subunit ribosomal RNA
Source: RNAcentral